This 105-nucleotide ribosomal RNA is filed under the name Acanthosepion pharaonis. The record is from RNAcentral. Lineage: Eukaryota; Metazoa; Mollusca; Cephalopoda; Sepiida; Sepiidae.
CGGUCAAAUCACGAAAACACCGGUUCUCGUUCGAUCACCGGUAAGCAUCGUAGAGCCAGGUCAGUACUUAGAUGGGGGACCGCUUAAAACACCUGGUACUGUAAG